Molecule: ribosomal RNA, 527 nt
Filed under: uncultured cyanobacterium
Lineage: Bacteria; Bacillati; Cyanobacteriota
Description: bacterial SSU rRNA
Rfam family: Bacterial small subunit ribosomal RNA
Source: RNAcentral
GUGGGGAAUUUUCCGCAAUGGGCGAAAGCCUGACGGAGCAAUACCGCGUGAGGGAAGAAGGCUCUUGGGUUGUAAACCUCUUUUCUUAGGGAAGAAAAAAAUGACGGUACCUAAGGAAUAAGCAUCGGCUAACUCCGUGCCAGCAGCCGCGGUAAUACGGAGGAUGCAAGCGUUAUCCGGAAUGAUUGGGCGUAAAGCGUCCGCAGGUGGUUUAUCAAGUUUGCGGUUAAAGGUUCUGGCUCAACCAGAGACAGGCCGUGAAAACUGAUAGACUAGAGUAUGGUAGGGGCAGAGGGAAUUCCCAGUGUAGCGGUGAAAUGCGUAGAGAUUGGGAAGAACACCGGUGGCGAAAGCGCUCUGCUAGGCCAAAACUGACACUGAGGGACGAAAGCUAGGGGAGCGAAUGGGAUUAGAUACCCCAGUAGUCCUAGCCGUAAACGAUGGAUACUAGGUGUAGCUUGUAUCGACCCAAGCUGUGCCGUAGCUAACGCGUUAAGUAUCCCGCCUGGGGAGUACGCGCGCAAGCG